AAGCAUGCGACUCUUCGGAGGCGUUACACAGGUGCUGCAUGGCCGUCGUCAGCUCGUGUCGUGAGAUGUUUGGUUAAGUCCAGCAACGAGCGCAACCCCUGUUGCCAGUUACCAGCACGUGAAGGUGGGGACUCUGGCGAGACUGCCCAGAUCAACUGGGAGGAAGGUGGGGACGACGUCAGGUCAGUAUGGCCCUUAUGCCCAGGGCUGCACACGUACUACAAUGCCCAGUACAGAGGGGGCCGAAGCCGCAAGGCGGAGGAAAUCCUAAAAACUGGGCCCAGUUCGGACUGUAGGCUGCAACCCGCCUACACGAAGCCGGAAUCGCUAGUAAUGGCGCAUCAGCUACGGCGCCGUGAAUACGUUCCCGGGUCUUGUACACACCGCCCGUCACAUCAUGGAAGCCGGUCGCACCCGAAGUAUCUGAAGCCAACCGCAAGGAGGCAGGGUCCUAAGGUGAGACUGGUAACUGGGAUGAAGUCGUAACAAGGUAGCCGUAGGGGAACCUGCGGCUGGAUCACCUC
RNAcentral lists this ribosomal RNA (524 nucleotides) under uncultured bacterium. Its description in RNAcentral is "bacterial SSU rRNA". It matches the Rfam family "Bacterial small subunit ribosomal RNA", at positions 1005 to 1529 of the family's 1533-position model. The record is from RNAcentral.